Molecule: ribosomal RNA, 439 nt
Filed under: uncultured bacterium
Lineage: Bacteria
Description: bacterial SSU rRNA
Rfam family: Bacterial small subunit ribosomal RNA
Source: RNAcentral
AACGCGAAGAACCUUACCUACCCUUGACAUCCUAAGAAUCCUGUAGAGAUACGGGAGUGCCGAAAGGAAUUUAGAGACAGGUGCUGCAUGGCUGUCGUCAGCUCGUGUUGUGAGAUGUUGGGUUAAGUCCCGUAACGAGCGCAACCCUUAUCCUUAGUUACCAUCAUUAAGUUGGGGACUCUAAGGAGACUGCUGGUGAUGAACCGGAGGAAGGCGGGGACGACGUCAAGUCAUCAUGGCCUUUAUGGGUAGGGCUACACACGUGCUACAAUGGUCGGUACAGAGGGAAGCCAACCCGCGAGGGGGAGCCAAUCCCGGAAAGCUGAUCGUAGUCCGGAUCGGAGUCUGCAACUCGACUCCGUGAAGUCGGAAUCGCUAGUAAUCGCGAAUCAGAAUGUCGCGGUGAAUACGUUCCCGGGCCUUGUACACACCGUAGUAC